Non-coding RNA from Paramuricea clavata, 183 nucleotides. Lineage: Eukaryota; Metazoa; Cnidaria; Anthozoa; Malacalcyonacea; Plexauridae. The record is from the annotation of a GenBank genome assembly.
CACGAAACGUUUGUUCGCCACCACAGCAACCUAACUAAAUGUAUUUAUUGUAUUUUAUGAUUGUAUUUUUAUGAUUGAUAAUAAAAACAAUAAAUAUUUGCGUUGUUUUGUCAUCAAUCAUAAAAAUGCAAUAAAUACAAUAUAUUUAGUUAGGUUGCUGUGGUGGCGAACAAACGUUUCGUG